This is an RNA transcript of Calidris pugnax (ruff), 3782 nucleotides long. It is a transcript of the gene named ER membrane protein complex subunit 1, with no coding region annotated. The transcript is spliced from 25 exons. Lineage: Eukaryota; Metazoa; Chordata; Aves; Charadriiformes; Scolopacidae. The record is from RefSeq and is a predicted model, not a curated record.
CUCAGCGGCCGGCCGACCAUGGCGGCGGGGUUGUGGGCGCUGCUGCUGCUCCUGCCCGCGGCGGCUGCUGUCUACGAGGACCAAGUGGGCAAGUUCGACUGGAGGCAGCAGUACGUGGGGAAGCUCAAGUUCGCCUCCUUGGAGGCUUCGCAGGGUUCCAAGAAGCUCAUAGUAGCCACCGAGAAGAAUGUGGUGGCCGCCCUGAACUCCAGGAGUGGGGAAAUCCUGUGGCGCCAUGUAGACAAGGGAACCCCCGAAGGAGCGAUAGAUGCCAUGCUGAUCCACGGGCAGGAUGCCAUCACUGUAUCCAAUGCUGGACGUAUUCUGCGGUCCUGGGAGACCAACAUCGGGGGGUUGAACUGGGAGAUGUCACUAGACACUGGCAGUUUCCAGGUGGCUAGUUUGGUGGGGCUACAGGACGCGGUCAAAUACGUGGCAGUCCUGAAGAAGGCAGCCAUCUCUCUUCACUACCUUUCCAACGGGCACCAGAAAUGGGUGGAACACUUACCAGAAAGUGAGAAUACUCAGUACCAGUUGUUGUAUUCCCAUGGGACUGGAGUGAUCCACGUGCUUGGAAUUGUUCCCCAGAGCCACUUGAACAUUUUAACCUACAGCGUAGAAGAUGGAGAAAUUACGAAACAGACGAGGGUGGCAGCCCCGUGGCUGAGGAGCUUGAGCGGCGCGUGUGGCGUGGUGGGGGAGGCAGUGCUGGUGUGUGUGGACAUGGACACACACUCACUCUACGUUUGCUCCUUGGAGAAGGAGCAGGAGAUGAAGCAGAUCCCGCUGCAGUCACUUGAGCUGGAGUUUGCUGAGGGCUUCCAGCCCAGGAUAUUGGCCACUCAACCCAGUGUAACCGGUGCUUCACGGACUCAGUUCUUCUUGCAGCUCUCUCCGAGCCACUUCUCUCUGCUGCAGUACAAACACGGGCUGCUCAGCCACCUCCGGGACUUCCAGCAGGCAGCUCUGGUGAGUUUUGCGACAACUGGGGAGAAGACUGUGGCUGCUGUCCUGACCUGCAGGAGUGAACUGAAACCAGGAGGUUCUGAUGGCCUUCAUGCUGGGAGUGCUCUGGAGGAUUCCCAGAAGCAGGAAUCCUUAACCUGCUCCAAUCAAACCUACAACAUUAAUCUCUACCUGGUUGAAACUGGACAGAGAUUGCUGGACACCACAAUUACCUUUACCCUGGAGCAGAGCGGUGCCAAGCCGCAGCAGCUGUACAUCCAAGUUUUCCUGAAGAAGGAUGACUCCGUGGGCUAUCGAGCCUUGGUGCAAACAGAAGACCACAUGCUGAUGUUCCUCCAGCAGCCAGGAAAAGUUGUUUGGAGCAGAGAGGAGUCGCUGGCAGAAGUGGUGAGCUUGGAGAUGGUGGAUCUGCCUCUGACAGGGGCCCAGGCUGAGCUGGAGGGAGAAUUUGGAAAGAAAGCAGCCAUUCAAGAUGGUUUGCUGGGGAUGUUUCUGAAGCGGCUGUCCUCCCAGCUCAUCCUGCUGCAAGCCUGGACCGCCCACCUUUGGAAGAUGUUCUAUGAUGCCAGGAAACCCCGGAGCCAGAUUAAAAACGAGAUUAACAUUGAUAAUUUGGCCAGAGAUGAAUUCAACCUCCAGAAAAUGAUGGUGAUGGUCACCGCUUCGGGAAAGCUUUUUGGUAUCGAAAGCAGUUCUGGCACCAUCCUCUGGAAGCAGUAUCUCAGGAAUGUGAGACCAGGCUCCUCCUUCAAACUGAUGGUGCAAAGAACAACAGCCCAUUUCCCACACCCUCCACAAUGCACCUUGCUUGUAAAGGACAAGGAAACCAAAAUGAGCUUUCUGUAUGUCUUUAACCCCAUCUUUGGGAAGAGAAGUCAAGUAGCUCCUCCUGUUUUGAAGCGCCCGAUUCUUCAGACUUUGCUUUUGCCUAUUAUGGACCAAGACUACGCCAAAGUACUGCUCCUGAUCGAUGAUGAGUACAAGGUUACAGCUUUCCCAGCAACUAAAAAUGUCCUUCGCCAGUUAGAAGAAAUAGCCCAUUCUAUCUUUUUUUAUCUCGUUGACGCUGAGCAGGGAAAACUCUCUGGAUUCAGGUUGAAAAGGGACCUGAGCACGGAGGAGAGCUGGGAGGUGGUCAUUCCCACCGAGGUCCAAAAGAUAGUGACUGUGAAAGGGAAGAGGUCCAAUGAGCACGUGCACUCCCAGGGCCGUGUGAUGGGAGACCGCAGUGUUCUCUACAAGUCCUUGAAUCCAAACCUGCUUGCUGUGGUGACAGAGAGCACGGAUACGCAUCAUGAGCGCACUUUCAUUGGAAUAUACCUGAUCGAUGGAGUCACGGGCAGGAUCAUCCACUCCUCGGUACAGAAGAAAGCGAAGGGACCUGUCCAUAUGGUCCACUCAGAGAACUGGGUGGUGUACCAGUACUGGAACACGAAGGCACGUCGGAACGAGUUCACCGUGCUGGAGCUGUACGAGGGGACGGAGCAGUACAACGCCACAGCCUACAGCUCCCUUGACCGCCCCAUUUUACCUCAGGUCCUCCAGCAAUCUUACAUCUUCCCAUCUGCUAUCAGUGCCAUGGAGGCCACCAUCACCGAGCGCGGCAUCACCAGCCGGCACUUGCUGGUUGGGCUUCCCUCCGGGGCCAUCCUCUCCCUUCCAAAGGCUCUGCUGGAUCCUCGUCGCCCAGAGAUCCCUACGGAACAAAGCAGGGAAGAGAACCUGAUCCCCUACUCCCCUGAUGUGCAGAUCCACGCCGAGAGGUUUAUCAACUACAAUCAAACCAUAUCCCGGAUGAGAGGGAUUUAUACGGCCCCCUCUGGCCUGGAGUCUACUUGUUUGGUUGUUGCCUACGGCCUGGAUAUCUACCAGACCCGGGUGUACCCCUCGAAGCAGUUUGAUGUCCUCAAGGACGACUACGACUACGUGCUGAUCAGCAGUGUCCUCUUCGGGCUGGUUUUUGCCACCAUGAUCACGAAGAGACUGGCCCAGGUGAAGCUGCUGAACCGUGCCUGGCGGUAAAGCUGCAGGUGAGGGGAAGGCCAAGGCUGGAGAAGGUACCUGAGGUUCUACCACCCCCACCUUGCUGCUGGGUUCCGUUAGAAAUUCCAGCUUGCGUGACUGAUGGAUGCAAACAUGGAUAUUGGUUUUUUGCUGGAAGAUAUUUGGGAGGAAAAGCUGCUACUGCAACAAAACGAUGUGCUGCCUACGUGUCUCUCAGCAAGAAGGAGUGGAAGAGAGAUGGAAAAGAGACUUCAGUCUGUUAUGACUAAAUAAUAACUCUCCCAAACUUCCGUUAAAGCCCUAAAAUCUGCAAUCGUAUCAUCUCCCCUGUGUUAUUGAAGAUAAUACUAAGGACAGGUGUCCUCUCACUCCUCACCUCUUCCUCAGCACCAGCCCUGACUGAAAUCUCGGUGAGAGGAGGACAGAGGGGCUGUUGGCUGCUGGGAACACUGGUGGGGGUGGUGUGCGGGGCCUGAGGAGACUUUGGGUGAUUCCAUUGGGAAGAAGGUUAGAAACUGGGUGGACAUUGGUGGGAAGCUGCCUCAUCCGGUCCCAUGGGCGGAAUUUGAAUGUCAAACCUCUCCAUUUUCUUUAUUUAUUAUGACAGCGUUGGCUCCUUCCCCUUUUUUAUUUUUUUUAAAUUUUCCUGUCUUUGGUGUCCAACACUGGGGUUCAGGCGCGGAGGCCAUCUCCCCUUUCCCCUCAGGAUAAAUGGAUUUAAACUCUCGGAGUGGAGUUUGGCAGCGCACUGUGGCCCCUGGGAGAGGCCGUGAGGGCAGAACGCCUCAAUAAAAGCCGGGUGCUGAGGAGCA